GCCGGAGUAGCUCAGUUGGUAGAGCAAUGGAUUGAAAAUCCAUGUGUCACCAGUUCAAGUCUGGUUUCUGGCA
RNAcentral lists this transfer RNA (73 nucleotides) under Cryptomonas sp. CCAC 1634B. RNAcentral describes it as "tRNA-Phe". It matches the Rfam family "tRNA". Rfam says of the family: Transfer RNA (tRNA) molecules are approximately 80 nucleotides in length. Their secondary structure includes four short double-helical elements and three loops (D, anti-codon, and T loops). The record is from RNAcentral. Lineage: Eukaryota; Cryptophyceae; Cryptomonadales; Cryptomonadaceae.